This 352-nucleotide ribosomal RNA is filed under the name uncultured Cenococcum. RNAcentral describes it as "eukaryotic LSU rRNA". It matches the Rfam family "Eukaryotic large subunit ribosomal RNA", at positions 1 to 350 of the family's 3401-position model. The record is from RNAcentral. Lineage: Eukaryota; Fungi; Ascomycota; Dothideomycetes; Gloniales; Gloniaceae.
UUGACCUCGGAUCAGGCAGGGAUACCCGCUGAACUUAAGCAUAUCAAUAAGCGGAGGAAAAGAAACCAACAGGGAUUGCCUCAGUAACGGCGAGUGAAGCGGCAACAGCUCAAAUUUGAAAUCUGGCUCUUUUAGGGUCCGAGUUGUAAUUUGUAGAGGAUGCUUCGGCGUCGGCUCCGGUCUAAGUUCCUUGGAACAGGACGUCAUAGAGGGUGAGAAUCCCGUAUGUGAUCGGUUGCCCUUGCCAUGUGAAGCUCCUUCGACGAGUCGAGUUGUUUGGGAAUGCAGCUCUAAAUGGGAGGUAAAUUUCUUCUAAGCUAAAUACUGGCCAGAGACCGAUAGCGCACAAGUA